CAUGCAAGUAGAACGCUGAAGAAAGGAGCUUGCUUCUUUUGGAUGAGUUGCGAACGGGUGAGUAACGCGUAGGUAACCUGCCUUGUAGCGGGGGAUAACUAUUGGAAACGAUAGCUAAUACCGCAUAACAGCUUUUGACACAUGUUAGAAGCUUGAAAGAUGCAAUUGCAUCACUACGAGAUGGACCUGCGUUGUAUUAGCUAGUAGGUAGGGUAACGGCCUACCUAGGCGACGAUACAUAGCCGACCUGAGAGGGUGAUCGGCCACACUGGGACUGAGACACGGCCCAAACUCCUACGGGAGGCAGCAGUGGGGGAUAUUGCACAAUGGAGGAAACUCUGAUGCAGCGACGCCGCGUGAGUGAAGAAGUAUUUCGGUAUGUAAAGCUCUAUCAGCAGGGAAGAUAAUGACAGUACCUGACUAAGAAGCUCCGGCUAAAUACGUG
This 445-nucleotide ribosomal RNA is filed under the name uncultured bacterium. RNAcentral describes it as "bacterial SSU rRNA". It matches the Rfam family "Bacterial small subunit ribosomal RNA", at positions 54 to 507 of the family's 1533-position model. The record is from RNAcentral.